This is a long non-coding RNA of Sinocyclocheilus grahami, 1053 nucleotides long. RefSeq lists it as uncharacterized. The transcript is spliced from 3 exons. The record is from RefSeq and is a predicted model, not a curated record. Lineage: Eukaryota; Metazoa; Chordata; Actinopteri; Cypriniformes; Cyprinidae.
CAUUAUAUACAUUUAUUAUUUUCACUUAAAUAACCUUUAAUUAUUGGUGGUCAGUCAAGUAAUUCUGCGGUCCCCCUGGUUUUACUGUACAACUUCACCCACACUAUACCUCCACUGUAGAAAUGAUUUGGCUUCUAAUAUUCCCAAUCACUUGCAUUGAAUUAAAACCCCUCUAAAAAUCAAAAAUGUAUAUCAUGUUGUAAUCUUUGAACAAACAUUUGGGGUAAAGUUGGAAGCCGGGGAACAUCGAGAAACUGUUUUAGGACCUGUGUAUCACAGCUUUCUCAACACUGAUCAGAACACAAUUUUACAAUUUUUUUUAAAACCCCUUUCAAAAUACAAAAAUAAUGCUUUCUUUUUAGAUUACAGGUUGGUAACACUUCAGCAGAGGGUUAUCUUUACAUUUCCCAUUUGUACAGAUCAAAUAGAUAAUGUUUUGAGUUUUCUUAGACACAAAAGCCUUUAUACUCACCACUGCUGUACUGUUGGUUUACUGCAAAGAGGUGGGUCUUGUCUUUAGAAAAAUGACAUAAAACACUGGAAACUGAAUGAUCACAACCAUCUGUAGGCAGCGGUCAUGUUGACCUCUUUUUGUAACAUCCACAAGUUCAAGCAUUAACACAAUUCAAAAAGCUUCACAACAUAAACCGGACCCUCAUUCCCUGUGCGCUUUACACAAUACAUUCCACCCUAUUUAUCUCUCACCUAGGCUACUUGUUGAAAAAAGCAGGUUGCCUCAUUCGUACCAACCUUCCGUUAUUUUUCCCAACAAAACAUUAAAGAACACAGUCAGUUUUCUGUAUAUGGGCAUUGCAGACGAAUGGAGAAUGCGGUCUGACAACCACUUUAUAAAUCUUUAGUAGUCUGUACAACAGAGUUGCGUAGUUUGCCGAUUUAACCUCUUAAGUGCCACCGGCUCACCGCUCUUUAUUUCGUUGUCUUUUUUCUCUGUCACAUAUCUUAGUAGUAAUCAUAAAUUACAUAUCACUUGAAAUCUUAAAACCUCAAAAUUCAUCCUGUGAAAACCAUUUUGAAAUCGGACAUUGCGUUACC